This 207-nucleotide ribosomal RNA is filed under the name uncultured bacterium. RNAcentral describes it as "partial 16S ribosomal RNA". It matches the Rfam family "Bacterial small subunit ribosomal RNA", at positions 568 to 774 of the family's 1533-position model. The record is from RNAcentral.
CGCGUAGGUGGUUGAGUCAGUCAGAUGUGAAAGCCCCGGGCUUAACCUGGGAACUGCACCUGAUACUGCUUGACUAGAGUACGGUAGAGGGCAGUGGAAUUUCCUGUGUAGCGGUGAAAUGCGUAGAUAUAGGAAGGAACACCAGUGGCGAAGGCGACUGCCUGGACCGAUACUGACACUGAGGUGCGAAAGCGUGGGUAGCAAACA